RNAcentral lists this ribosomal RNA (460 nucleotides) under uncultured bacterium. RNAcentral describes it as "partial 16S ribosomal RNA". It matches the Rfam family "Bacterial small subunit ribosomal RNA", at positions 338 to 795 of the family's 1533-position model. The record is from RNAcentral.
CCUACGGGUGGCAGCAGUGAGGAAUAUUGGUCAAUGGGCGCGAGCCUGAACCAGCCAAGUAGCGUGAAUGAUGACUGCCCUACGGGUUGUAAACUUCUUUUAUAAAGGAAUAAAGUGAGGCGCGUGUGCCUUUUUGUAUGUACUUUAUGCGUAAGGAUCGGCUAACUCCGUGCCAGCAGCCUCGGUAAUACGGAGGAGCCGAGCGUUAUCCGGAUUUAUUGGGUUUAAAGGGAGCGUAGAUGGGUUGUUAAGUCAGUUGUGAAAGUUUGCGGCUCAACCGUAAAAGUGCAAUUGAUACUGGCAGUCUUGAGUACAGUUGAGGGAGGUGGAAUUUGUGGUGUAGCGGUGAAAUGCUUAGAUAUCACGAAGAACUCCGAUUGCGAAGGCAGCUCACUGGACUGCAACUGACACUGAGGCUCGAAAGUGUGGGUAUCAAACAGGAUUAGAUACCCUUGUAGUC